UGGGAAUAGUCCGGGGCAGCCAGGAAGAGGCAAGAGCAGUAUACUUAGCCACAGUAGCAGAACCAAGCUCCACUGGAAAAGCUCUUGACUCGGAAGUUCUAGAGGUUCGGGAUGAGAAAACAGAGGCUAGGACAGAACCGGUGGGGGAGCUGGAGAUCUUCCCUUUAUCAGAAGCAGAGGCAGAAAAGGUCUUCAGUCUCA
This 201-nucleotide long non-coding RNA is filed under the name Manihot esculenta (cassava). Its description in RNAcentral is "long non-coding RNA (MESC_LNC008339)". Lineage: Eukaryota; Viridiplantae; Streptophyta; Magnoliopsida; Malpighiales; Euphorbiaceae. The record is from RNAcentral.